CACAAGCUGCGUUGUUCGUAAUCAUAAUAAAGUUUUAACCUUUGAGCUGUAAUAGGGAGUUUUAUAUAGGAAUUGGAAUGACAGGCCUCUGUCUAUAAGACAUGGAGGACAUGCAGAAAGGUUCCUGCGAACACCCACUUUGAGGAGUGGUGGUUUAAAACUUUCUUAUCAUUACAUUACGGCAAAGGCGGCUGUAC
Molecule: non-coding RNA, 197 nt
Filed under: Heyndrickxia camelliae
Lineage: Bacteria; Bacillati; Bacillota; Bacilli; Caryophanales; Bacillaceae
Description: Bacillus camelliae 6S RNA
Rfam family: 6S / SsrS RNA
About the family: E. coli 6S RNA was the first non coding RNA to be sequenced, but its function was unknown until recently. It consists of 184 nucleotides that fold into an extended hairpin structure with a large single-stranded internal bulge.
Source: RNAcentral